This 204-nucleotide long non-coding RNA is filed under the name Lathyrus oleraceus (garden pea). Its description in RNAcentral is "Pisum sativum (pea) long non-coding RNA (PSAT_LNC013045)". Lineage: Eukaryota; Viridiplantae; Streptophyta; Magnoliopsida; Fabales; Fabaceae. The record is from RNAcentral.
AAAUGACACAUAAUCACUUUAACAAAAUUAAAAAUAUGCCAGGUGUAGGACCUCUUAUUAGAUUCCAUGCCACCUGGAUAUUAGGGGGUUCUAUGAAGGAAUCUACAUAACAUAAGGGGGGUUUACAAAAAAUAUUUUUACAGGGGGUAAUCCUAAACUCGCUAACAUUACAGGGGGAAAAGUGUAUUUAACCCUUGAAUAUAU